This 497-nucleotide ribosomal RNA is filed under the name uncultured bacterium. RNAcentral describes it as "partial 16S ribosomal RNA". It matches the Rfam family "Bacterial small subunit ribosomal RNA", at positions 28 to 507 of the family's 1533-position model. The record is from RNAcentral.
GAUGAACGCUGGCGGCGUGCCUAAUACAUGCAAGUCGAGCGAACAGACGAGGAGCUUGCUCCUCUGAUGUUAGCGGCGGACGGGUGAGUAACACGUGGAUAACCUACCUAUAAGACUGGGAUAACUUCGGGAAACCGGAGCUAAUACCGGAUAACAUGUUGAACCGCAUGGUUCAACAGUGAAAGACGGUCUUGCUGUCACUUAUAGAUGGAUCCGCGCCGCAUUAGCUAGUUGGUAAGGUAACGGCUUACCAAGGCAACGAUGCGUAGCCGACCUGAGAGGGUGAUCGGCCACACUGGAACUGAGACACGGUCCAGACUCCUACGGGAGGCAGCAGUAGAGAAUCUUCCGCAAUGGGCGAAAGCCUGACGGAGCAACGCCGCGUGAGUGAAGAAGGUCUUCGGAUCGUAAAACUCUGUUAUUAGGGAAGAACAAAUGUGUAAGUAACUAUGCACGUCUUGACGGUACCUAAUCAGAAAGCCACGGCUAACUACGUG